GGUGGCCCAAUGGUAGAGUGCUUGCCUCGCAUGCAUGAAGCCCUGAGUUCGAUUCCUCAGCACCA
Molecule: transfer RNA, 65 nt
Filed under: Dipodomys ordii (Ord's kangaroo rat)
Lineage: Eukaryota; Metazoa; Chordata; Mammalia; Rodentia; Heteromyidae
Rfam family: tRNA
About the family: Transfer RNA (tRNA) molecules are approximately 80 nucleotides in length. Their secondary structure includes four short double-helical elements and three loops (D, anti-codon, and T loops).
Source: Rfam by way of RNAcentral